GGCCAGACUCCUACGGGAGGCAGCAGUGGGGAAUAUUGCACAAUGGGGGAAACCCUGAUGCAGCGACGCCGCGUGAGUGAAGAAGUAUUUCGGUAUGUAAAGCUCUAUCAGCAGGGAAGAAAAUGACGGUACCUGACUAAGAAGCCCCGGCUAACUACGUGCCAGCAGCCGCGGUAAUACGUAGGGGGCAAGCGUUAUCCGGAUUUACUGGGUGUAAAGGGAGCGUAGACGGCAUGGCAAGUCAGAUGUGAAAGCCCGGGGCUCAACCCCGGGACUGCAUUUGAAACUGUCAGGCUGGAGUGCAGGAGAGGUAAGUGGAAUUCCUAGUGUAGCGGUGAAAUGCGUAGAUAUUAGGAGGAGCACCAGUGGCGAAGGCGGCUUACUGGACUGUAACUGACGUUGAGGCUCGAAAGCGUGGGGAGCAAACAGGAUUAGAUACCCCCGUACA
Molecule: ribosomal RNA, 448 nt
Filed under: uncultured bacterium
Lineage: Bacteria
Description: bacterial SSU rRNA
Rfam family: Bacterial small subunit ribosomal RNA
Source: RNAcentral